UGUCGUUAGUUGCCAGCAUGUUAUGAUGGGACUCUAACGAGACUGCCUACGCAAGUAGAGAGGAAGGUGGGGAUGACGUCAAAUCAUCACGGCCCUUACGUCCUGGGCCACACACGUGCUACAAUGGUAUGGACAAUGAGCAGCCAUCUGGCAACAGAGAGCGAAUCUACAAACCAUAUCACAGUUCGGAUCGGAGUCUGCKACUCGACUCCGUGAAGCUGGAAUCGCUAGUAAUCGGAUAUCAGCCAUGAUCCGGUGAAUACGUUC
RNAcentral lists this ribosomal RNA (267 nucleotides) under unidentified cytophagales groupA. RNAcentral's name for it is "partial 16S small subunit ribosomal RNA". It matches the Rfam family "Bacterial small subunit ribosomal RNA", at positions 1106 to 1373 of the family's 1533-position model. The record is from RNAcentral. Lineage: Bacteria; Pseudomonadati; Bacteroidota.